AUCCUCGUUUUGUGGAGGCAUAAUAUAGAGAAUUACUGUGAAACAGAGGAUGUUUCAAAUAAACAAGGUGCGGCGAGAGGUGACCAGUUGGCAAGUUCUGAAAGCUCUUCUUUGUGGCGAUAAUACCAAAAUAUCAAGUUGUCUUUAUCUUUAUUUUGAUACUUAUGGGCCUAUUGAAUUCUCUUUUUCCCUGUUUCUUUCUUAGAAUUUGUUUUUGUGGAAUAUGGUUUUUAUUAUUUGUUUUCUUUAUUAUUGAUAGGAAUUCUCUUGUUAAGACCCUAUGAAUCGAUUAAAACCUCAGAUUCAUACUAGAUUUGAUACUUAUGGGCCUAUUGAAUUCUCUUUUUCCCUGUUUCUUUCUUAGAAUUUGUUUUUGUGGAAUAUGGUUUUUAUUAUUUGUUUUCUUUAUUAUUGAUAGGAAUUCUCUAGUUAAGACCUUAUGAAUCGAUUAAAACCUCAUAUUCAUACUAGAACCACCUUGAUUCAAUAAAAAAAACUAACCUAAAUCAAAUCAAGGAUUCCCUGAGUAAGAAUCCAUUUGCUGUUUGGAGCAUAUUUCUGCUUCCU
Molecule: long non-coding RNA, 567 nt
Filed under: Nicotiana benthamiana
Lineage: Eukaryota; Viridiplantae; Streptophyta; Magnoliopsida; Solanales; Solanaceae
Description: long non-coding RNA (NBEN_LNC035703)
Source: RNAcentral